RNAcentral lists this unclassified non-coding RNA (1180 nucleotides) under Zea mays. Its description in RNAcentral is "misc RNA Zm00001eb433240". Lineage: Eukaryota; Viridiplantae; Streptophyta; Magnoliopsida; Poales; Poaceae. The record is from RNAcentral.
GGCGAAGUCAAAUCCGGAAAAGAAAAGUAAUGGCAGCGAAGGAGGGAGGCAGUGGGGAAGGUGGGUGGGAAGAGGCUGCCCAAAGCUACCCCAGCCGCGUCUCCCCACCACCACCACCAGCCCUUCUUCUACCCCCAACCCUCCCCCAACACCACACCAGCGCAGCGCCCUCUCCUACCCGACUCCCAGCUAGCCCCUCACGCGCUCGUCGGCGCCCUGUCGAGUCGAGCCCGCAUCUCGCCCGAUCGAGAGCGAGCGCAUCCGCGCGCCGGGGAGAGCUUUGCUUUCGGUGGUCUGUAACGACUCAACGACGACGGCAGGCGGUAGAUAAAGGCGCGCGAUGUGCGACGCGGCGCCGAGGUACAGGGGCGUGCGGAAGCGGCCGUGGGGCCGGUUCGCGGCGGAGAUCCGGGACCCGGCGAAGCGCGCGCGCGUCUGGCUCGGCACCUUCGACUCGGCCGAGGCCGCGGCGCGCGCCUACGACGUGGCCGCGCGGGCCCUGCGCGGCCCGCUCGCCAGGACCAACUUCCCCGCGCUCACCACCACCUCCCGCCGCCCCGCGCCCACGUGCAGCUCCGGCUCCACCGUCGAGUCCUCCAGCGGGCCCCGCGCCGGGGACCCCAGGGCCAGGGCGGCGCAUCGCGGCCGUGCUGCUGCGAAGCCGCGGCGGCCCCCACGGCAGGCGCCGCCGCCGCCCACCGACGCCGACUGCCACAGCGACUGCGCGUCGUCGGCCUCCGUCGUGGACGACGGCGACGACGCGUCCACGGUCCGGUCGCGCGCGCGCCCGUCGCUCGAUCUCAACCUCCCGGCGCCGCUCGACUUGGACGGUGGCCACGACCUCGGGUUCUGCACGGACCUGCGGCUCUGUCUCUGAGCGAUCGGAAUCGGAUCCACGGACGAGGCGGAUUCUGCUUUGACUUGUCGUGAGCUUGUAGCAGUAGUGCCAUGUACUACGCGAUACGAAUGGCAAUAGAAUUGGAUGAUGGUUCCUUUUCUUUAACGCUCUCCGGAUUCAUUCAGAGGUCAGUCAUCUCGUCGAGAGUUUCAGCCUUUUUUUCUCAUGUCUGGAUCUGAUUUGUAUCUUGCUGUCAUUCUGUAUGUACUUUGUACACCAGAAAACAUCUAAAAGAGAGAUGUUGGCGAACUAACACGAAUCUCUACCGCAAUUCUGAGUUUU